GCCUGACCCAGCGACGCCGCGUGAGGGAAGAAGGUCUUCGGAUUGUAAACCUCUUUCAGCAGGGAAGAAGAAAGUGACGGUACCUGCAGAAGAAGUCACGGCUAACUACGUGCCAGCAGCCGCGGUAAUACGUAGGUGGCGAGCGUUAUCCGGAAUUACUGGGUGUAAAGGGUGUGUAGGCGGGGUGUCAAGUCAGAUGUGAAAACUGUGGGCUCAACCCACAAACUGCAUUUGAAACUGAUAUUCUUGAGAGUGGGAGAGGUAAACGGAAUUCCUGGUGUAGUAGUGAAAUGCGUAGAUAUCAGGAGGAACACCGGUGGCGAAGGCGGUUUACUGGACCACAACUGACGCUGAGACACGAAAGCGUGGGGAGCAAACAGGAUUAGAUACCCUGGUAGUCCACGCUGUAAACGAUGAAUACUAGGUGUGGGGAUCGUAGGAUUUCCGUGCCGCAGUUAACGCAAUAAGUAUUCCACCUGGGGAGUACGGCCGCAAGGUUGCAACUCAAAUGAAUUGACGGA
Molecule: ribosomal RNA, 521 nt
Filed under: uncultured Bacillota bacterium
Lineage: Bacteria; Bacillati; Bacillota
Description: bacterial SSU rRNA
Rfam family: Bacterial small subunit ribosomal RNA
Source: RNAcentral